This 923-nucleotide long non-coding RNA is filed under the name Macaca mulatta (Rhesus monkey). Its description in RNAcentral is "lncRNA (ENSMMUG00000052624.1)". The record is from RNAcentral. Lineage: Eukaryota; Metazoa; Chordata; Mammalia; Primates; Cercopithecidae.
AUUUUAUAUGUAUGAAUCUGUGAAUGUGUAUGUGCUUACUAAUCACACAUCUAUAACACAUACAUGCAUGUAUGUGUUUGUGUACAUAUAUAUGUAAAUGAUGGCAUGGCAUAAAUAUAUGCCAUCAUUUUGUAAAUAUAGGAUUGCUAUUUUAGACUAGUAUAUUUCCACAUUUUGUUUUAUCUUUAGAUUCUGCAAAGGCUUAAGAGAUGCUCAUGUGGCUAUUUUAGAAAAGUAAUUGGAUUAUAUAGCAAAUUAUAUGUAAUAGUCUGUUGACAUUGAGACAAGGAGAAGUGAAAGUUGUAUAUAUUAUUGCAAUUUGUUGUCAACAAGAAAUCACUGUGUGCUUACUUCAUGAAAAGAACUGCUUGAAAGACUCAAGACAUAAUCACACUCAUCAGUGGUUUUCUUUAUUCAUGUGGUGAUGGUGAGCAUUAAGGAAGGGACCGUAAUUUGCAAAGAGAGCUUUUACAAACUGUCAGCGCAUAAUUAUUGAACAUCUACUUUGUAACAGGCCCUAUGAAGACAUGACAGGAGCAUAUGUGAAUCUUGAUGAUUGUUUAUAUUUUCCAGCACAGCAUUCCUGUGGAAAGUAUAAAAUAGUGGCAGACCUGAACCUCAGAUCUGUAAAAUCGCCCUCAAUAAGAUCAAACUCUGUUGCUUCUUCACCAAGGUAAAAUUCUUAAGAGGUUUGUCUUUUCUUUUUUCAUGUAAUUAAUAUUUAUUGUGACAUCAAAAAGUCAGUCUUCUUGUAUUUGAAUAACGUGAUUUAGUUAUUUAAUAUGAAAACUAAAACUCCACAUCACCACAAAUGAAUAGAUGCCUCAGGGUGAAUGCCAGUUUUAGUCCUUUCUUAACCUUUCAGGUUACAUUUAUCAUAACUUCUUGGUCUCUGAAGUUUCUGUCUUACUUCCUACCAGUUC